UACGGAAGGGGCGAGCGUUGUUCGGAAUCAUUGGGCGUAAAGGGCGCGUAGGUGGUCUUGUAUGUCUACCGUGAAAGCGUACGGCUCAACCGUAUUUUGUCGGUAGAAACUGCAGGACUUGAGGCUGGGAGGGGCUGGUGGAAUUCCCUGUGUAGCGGUGAAAUGCGUAGAGAUGGGGGAGAACACUCGUGGCGAAGGCGGCCAGCUAGACCAGUUCUGACACUGAGGCGCGACGGCGUGGGGAGCAAACAGG
RNAcentral lists this ribosomal RNA (253 nucleotides) under uncultured bacterium. RNAcentral describes it as "partial 16S ribosomal RNA". It matches the Rfam family "Bacterial small subunit ribosomal RNA", at positions 524 to 776 of the family's 1533-position model. The record is from RNAcentral.